RNAcentral lists this ribosomal RNA (460 nucleotides) under uncultured bacterium. RNAcentral describes it as "partial 16S ribosomal RNA". It matches the Rfam family "Bacterial small subunit ribosomal RNA", at positions 338 to 795 of the family's 1533-position model. The record is from RNAcentral.
CCUACGGGUGGCAGCAGUGAGGAAUAUUGGUCAAUGGACGAGAGUCUGAACCAGCCAAGUAGCGUGAAGGAUGACUGCCCUAUGGGUUGUAAACUUCUUUUAUAUGGGAAUUAAAUGUUCCACGUGUGGGAUUUUGUAUGUACCCUAUGAAUAAGGAUCGGCUAACUCCGUGCCAGCAGCCGCGGUAAUACGGAGGAUCCGAGCGUUAUCCGGAUUUAUUGGGUGUAAAGGGAGCGUAGGUGGAUUGUUAAGUCAGUUGUGAAAGUUUGCGGCUCAACCGUAAAAUUGCAGUUGAAACUGGCAGUCUUGAGUACAGUAGAGGUGGGCGGAAUUCGUGGUGUAGCGGUGAAAUGCUUAGAUAUCACGAAGAACUCCGAUUGCGAAGGCAGUUCACUGGACUGCAACUGACACUGAGGCUCGAAAGUGUGGGUAUCAAACAGGAUUAGAUACCCCAGUAGUC